GACGAACGCUGGCGGCGUGCUUAACACAUGCAAGUCGAACGGAAAGGCCCUGCUUUUGUGGGGUGCUCGAGUGGCGAACGGGUGAGUAACACGUGAGUAACCUGCCCUUGACUUUGGGAUAACUUCAGGAAACUGGGGCUAAUACCGGAUAGGAGCUCCUGCUGCAUGGUGGGGGUUGGAAAGUUUCGGCGGUUGGGGAUGGACUCGCGGCUUAUCAGCUUGUUGGUGGGGUAGUGGCUUAUCAAGGCUUUGACGGGUAGCCGGCCUGAGAGGGUGACCGGCCACAUUGGGACUGAGAUACGGCCCAGACUCCUACGGGAGGCAGCAGUGGGGAAUACUGCACAAUGGGCGGAAGCCUGAUGCAGCAACGCCGCGUGCGGGAUGACGGCCUUCGGGUUGUAAACCGCUUUCGCCUGUGACGAAGCGUGAGUGACGGUAAUGGGUAAAGAAGCACCGGCUAACUACGUG
RNAcentral lists this ribosomal RNA (468 nucleotides) under uncultured bacterium. Its description in RNAcentral is "partial 16S ribosomal RNA". It matches the Rfam family "Bacterial small subunit ribosomal RNA", at positions 28 to 507 of the family's 1533-position model. The record is from RNAcentral.